This 442-nucleotide ribosomal RNA is filed under the name uncultured bacterium. Its description in RNAcentral is "bacterial SSU rRNA". It matches the Rfam family "Bacterial small subunit ribosomal RNA", at positions 29 to 517 of the family's 1533-position model. The record is from RNAcentral.
AACGAACGCUGGCGGCAUGCCUAACACAUGCAAGUCGAACGAGACCUUCGGGUCUAGUGGCGCACGGGUGCGUAACGCGUGGGAAUCUGCCCUUAGGUUCGGAAUAACUUCGGGAAACUGAAGCUAAUACCGGAUGAUGACGUAAGUCCAAAGAUUUAUCGCCUAAGGAUGAGCCCGCGUUGGAUUAGCUAGUUGGUGAGGUAAAGGCUCACCAAGGCGACGAUCCAUAGCUGGUCUGAGAGGAUGAUCAGCCACACUGGGACUGAGACACGGCCCAGACUCCUACGGGAGGCAGCAGUGGGAAUAUUGGACAAUGGGCGAAAGCCUGAUCCAGCAAUGCCGCGUGAGUGAUGAAGGCCUUAGGGUUGUAAAGCUCUUUUACCCGGGAUGAUAAUGACAGUACCGGGAGAAUAAGCUCCGGCUAACUCCGUGCCAGCAGCCG